This 4344-nucleotide unclassified non-coding RNA is filed under the name Hevea brasiliensis (rubber tree). The record is from RNAcentral. Lineage: Eukaryota; Viridiplantae; Streptophyta; Magnoliopsida; Malpighiales; Euphorbiaceae.
GUGUAUGAAUAAAUAAAUGCAUUGACAGAUUUAGAGGGAAUUUACAAUGUGGAGUUGGGACCCCAUUCCCCAAACCAUACAACUUUCGUGCACCCGCAUUAUUGCGUUUCACGCAGCAAAAGUGCCCAAGUCACAGAGUCAGGGACCACGUGCCGGUCAACACUUUCUCAAUCCUAUGUGGCAACGGCCAAAGAAUCUGAGGGCCUGGCCAAGCCAAAGAGACACAUUUACUGAUCCUGAUGCCCCGCUUCCUUUUUCCGAUAGAGCUACCUGCAGUGUCACCACUCACAUUAACGGCUACUUUUCCCCUCCUUCAAAUAUUGCCACGUGUCUUAUCCGGAUUAUUUAUCCCGCUUUUGGCGGGAAUUGAAUUUUGUUGGAAGGAAUCACGGAAGAUGUAUUUUGACCGCGGGAGUGGACCUAAGAAAACUACCGUCGUAGGGUCAAAGGUAUAUACAAAUUGAGCAUGUUGAGGAAGAAUAAAGAGUUAAAAGAAAAAACGAAGAACCACCGGCCACCACCAUAGAAGAAACAAUGAACUAAAGUUUGCAAUGAUGAUUGAUAAGUUGAUAACACUAAUGUUAACUUGCAGAAAAUAAUGAUCAAGAAUGAUACUUCUUUUGGGGAAGUAAUUCUUUUUCAAAUACUAAACAAAAAUUAAUUGUUCAAACCGGAGACGGUAGUGUAGUGGGAUCAGCUGAGGAGGGAAUAUCUGGUCCAACCCUGCAGCCUUCAAGCAUGAAAACAAUGUCAGCCAUUGAUGGUCUAUCAAGUGGAUCAGCUGCUGUGCAAAGAAGCCCAACUUUAACUCCUAACAAGAAUUCUUCCCAUUCUGAUGACUCAGGGUCUAGCUCAAGUAACCCGGGUUCUAGUAAUUCUGAUACUUGGCCUCUUUGCAAUUGCUUUUUAACCCACUUGACGAUAUCUUCAUCCUGGGUAAACAUGAUUGCUUUCUUUCCUGUUAGGAUCUCUAACAAAACAAUCCCAAAACUGUACACAUCGCCUUCUUUUGUGGGCUGUCUUGUUAAUGCUGCUUCUGGUGAUACAUAGCCUAGUGAUCCAACUGCGGUGGAAGAUGAGGAAGCUUCUGCUGGUGUUGCUGUUGUUAAUUUUUCUAGUCCGAAUUCUGACAGAUGUGCUUCAAAGUCAGCAUCAAAAAGAACAUUUUGCGGCUUAAUAUCACCAUGGAUCAUUGAGACUGAAUGUAAGAAACCUAAGCCACGGGCAAUGCCUAAAGCAAUUAAGUGACGCAUUGGCCAGUUUAGAACAUGUCCAUCGUGGUGGGAAGCUUCCUGAAGGAGAGUAGCUAGGUUUCCAUUAGGCAUGUAAUCAUAAACAAGCAGCCUUACGUCAGGUGGUCCUGCAUAGUAGCCACGCAAAACUGUUAAGUUUCGAUGCUUCACCUUCCCUAGUGAUUCUGCUUCUUUACGAAAAGUGCCUUCUUCAAUUGAUCCAUCAGGGAGGCGACGGAUUGAAAGCACCAUUCCAUCUUGAUAUGAGGCCUUGAAUACGAGCCCAUAUCUUCCUCUGCUUAACACAUUUUCCUCAUCAAAUUGCCUUGUUGCUUCCAACGUUUCUGCAUAUGUUAUCUUGUUAUUGAACAUUACUAGUUUUGGCCCUCCAUUCUCACCGCUUCCACGACCCCUGCCUGCUCCCGAGCUUGCUCGAGCUGGGCUUCGCUUCUUUCCACCAGUUACACCUUGUCUAAGCCUCUUGCGCCAGCGUAAGAGGGUGUAAAUGUAGCCACAGCAACACAAUAACAAAAUGAAGGCGCCUGCUACAGCUACACCAAUGAAUAGAAAAAGUUUUUUCCUUCUUCUGUUUCUUAAAUCGGCACAUUCUCUAUCCAGUGGCUUCCCACAUAAUCUUCCAUUCAUAGAAAACACAGAGGGAUCGUUGAAUCGAGAGGCGAGCAAUUUUGGAAUCUCUCCCUCAAGAUUGUUACUCGAUAAAUUUAAGUAUCUCAAGCUAGAGAUCUGAGAAAGAUUUGCUGGAAUGGUCCCAUUCAAGCUGUUGGAGGAAAGAUUCAACAAUGUUAGAUUUGACAACAUGGACAAUGAUUCUGGUAUAUGGCCUGAAAGGUUAUUAGCAUCCAGAAAAAGGGAAACUAGAGAGGAGCAUCUGUCAAUCUCCUCUGGGAUUUCACCGGUUAAAUUAUUCUGGCCCAAAUCAAGAUUCUUCAAACGAGGUAAGUGAGAGAUAUCUCCCGGAAUGUUGCCCUUCAAAUGAUUUGAACGAAGUUCAAGCACUUCAAGGCCAGAACAAUUACCAAGCUCUGCUGGGAUUACACCCGAAAUGUUAUUCUGGGAUAAUGAGAGAACAAUUAGUGAACCUAGAAAUCCGUAGGUUGCAGGAAUUGCACCAGUGAAAGAAUUAGAAGUGAGAUUGAGAUACUGCAGACUAACUAAGCUGCUAAAACCUUCAGGAAUAUCUCCAGAUAAUUUGUUCUUUUCCAAAGCAACAACCUGCAGACUUGGCAACCCAAAGAGCUCAAUUGGCAAAUCGCCAGACAAAUUCUGCUUACUUAAAUCCAGAGUGGUAAGUUUCGACAAACUCCCAAUACUCACAGGGAUCCUCCCUGAAAACCCACAAGCACUCAAAUUCAAAACCAGCAAACCUUUCAAGUCCCCUAUAUUGUAAGGAAUCUCCCCAGAAAAUUUAUUAUAGCCGAGAUUCAAAAUACUCAAAUUAUUUAGCUUCAAUAACUCCUCUGGUACAUUUCCCGUGAGAUUGUUGUUGUUCAAUUUUAACGUUUCAAGCUCAAAAAGACCUCCAAGACCCGGUGGAAUCGAACCAGAAAAAUGGUUCCCUCCUAAAGACAAGGACUUCAAGUUCCCUAGUUCACUCAAGAAAGCAGGAAUACUACCCAAAAACCCAUUCCCUUCCAGAUCAAGACCUUGUAAUGAACUGCAUUUUACAAUCUGAAAAGGAAUUUCACCAGUUAAUGAAUUAUUAGCCACUCUUAUUUCCUCUAACCUGAAAAGAUUGCCAAUGCCAGCCGGUAAAGCACCAGAAAAGAAGUUUCCAGAAAGAUCAAUCACUCUAAGCGCCGUCAUAUUAGUCAACCAAGAUGGAAACAUGCUUUGUAUGUGAUUCUCGUGAAAGUCUAAGACCUCCAAAAGACUAGUAGCACAGCCUCCUUCAUUUGGCGGCUUAACAAUACCCGUGAAAGCAUUGAACCCCAACUGAACCAUUCUGAUCGAAGAAAAAUUACCCGAAACAUUACAGAAAAUACUAGCAGGAAUAGAACCGGAGAGUCCAUUUUCCGAUAAAGAAAGCACUUCAAGUUUUGGAAUUGAACCAAUGGUUGCUGGAAUCAAACCUCUCAGUGCAUUAUCUUCAGCACUCAAGUGUACAAGCGAAGAACAGUUGGCUAUCGCCGAUGGCAGAGUACCGUAUAGCUGGUUGGAGUCUAGCCAUAAAUACUCCAGCUCUUUAAGUUGACCAAUGCUCGCCGGAACUUCUCCAGAGAAUUUAUUAUAAGAUAAAUUGAUAAGUUGAAGCUGAGAUUCUGCCGAGAAGUUGGCCGGUAUCUCGCCGGAGAAGGCAUUUGAGGAUAUAUCAAAGUAUCUGAGGGAAUGUGAUAUAUAGCCAGGAAUUUUUCCUGACAGGACGUUAUGAGCUACAUUAAGGACUUGAAGAUUAGUGAGGCUAACGAUCGACGAUGGGAGGUCGCCGGAGAGUGAGUUGUACUGCAAGUAAAUGGCGCGUAAAAGAGAGCAUUGCGAGAGAGAGGGAGGGAUAGAGCCAUUGAAGUUGUUAGAAUGAAGACUCAACUUGCGCAGCUGGCGCAAGUUAGCGAGCUGGUCACUGAUAGUUCCGCCCAGUUGGAGCCGAGGCAAACGAAGCUCGCGGACUCUGUUAUCAUAACAGACAAUGCCGCGCCAGUCACAGGGAGCUGAAGUUGUGGAAGGAUCCCAGCCAUCCAAUGCGCCGAGGGGAUCAUGAAGACGGAGCUUGAACGAGGUCAAAGCUUGGAUCUCCGAUAAUGGAACGACGUCGCAUAGACCAAAGGUUAAUAAGGUGGCAUAACAAAUAGAGAAAAGAAAAAUAGCCGUUGCCAUUAGAGAGAAGGAGAAGAAGGAGAGUAGUGGGUGUGGUGGCUGGUGAAAACGGUGGUUGCGAGUGGAGAGACUGAUUAAGAGAGCAGUAGUAGUAAUGGAGUUUGUUGAGAGAGGCAGAGUACAAGAGGAGCGUGUCUUAGCAGAGAUUGACUGGAAAGAGUGUUUGACAGAAACGACGCCAUAUGCUGCGUUACAAGUCUGCGUUGUUUGUGUGCCUUUCUCUCUCUGUUUCUUUGCUAGUUUUAUAAUCACUGUGUCUAUUUGGUUGGUUUCUUCCUUC